This is a long non-coding RNA of Gasterosteus aculeatus aculeatus (three-spined stickleback), 371 nucleotides long. NCBI's taxonomy places the organism in Eukaryota, Metazoa, Chordata, Actinopteri, Perciformes, Gasterosteidae. The record is from Ensembl.
CAUUUUUCUGCACUUAGGGUUUGCUUUAUUUAUGAGAGGGGGACAUGUCCCCACAGCAACGCAGUGACUCAUCCCAAGGUCCUGCUGCCGUGAGGAGGCAAACCACAUACUACUACUACUACAUACAUAGACAACACACAUACAGACUAAGAUAAACAUACAAGAUGAAAUACAACAUUAUGUUGGAGAGGGAAGGUCAGUGUUCUUUGAAAGAGGAAAAGGAAACGUAAGCAUCGCAAAAAAGGUGGUGUCCGUCGCCGACGACCACGUGCAGGAUACAGGAUAGAGACGUGAAGAGGAAACACAGAGCAGAUUGAAGUGUCACGCGGAGAGAGGAGAGAAUCUGUUCCCGUACAGGUGGUGAACAGAAG